CAGCCGCCGCGGUAAUACGUAGGGUGCGAGCGUUAAUCGGAAUUACUGGGCGUAAAGCGCGCGCAGGCGGAUCUGUCAGUCUGUCUUAAAAGUUCGGGGCUUAACCUCGUGAUGGGAUGGAAACUGCUGAUCUAGAGUAUCGGAGAGGAAAGUGGAAUUCCUAGUGUAGCGGUGAAAUGCGUAGAUAUUAGGAAGAACACCAGUGGCGAAGGCGACUUUCUGGACGAAAACUGACGCUGAGGCGCGAAAGCCAGGGGAGCGAACGGGAUUAGAUACCCGUGUAGUCCCUGUCUCUUAUACA
This 301-nucleotide ribosomal RNA is filed under the name uncultured bacterium. RNAcentral's name for it is "partial 16S ribosomal RNA". It matches the Rfam family "Bacterial small subunit ribosomal RNA", at positions 509 to 809 of the family's 1533-position model. The record is from RNAcentral.